UUAAGGAAAGCAGUUACAGUUUGUGGGGUUCUGACUCUUCUCAAAGCUUUUUAGGUAGAGACAUUUGUAGUUUUAUCUGAGAGAAUAUUGUUUGCAGUGGUUAAUUUGUAACCGAACAUACUUUUUCUGAUGUGCAAGAGAAUAAAUGUUUGACUUUGUCCUUUCAGUUUGGAAUUUCCUGUAUUGCUCCAUUGUAUCUUCCUUCAGAAUUACCAGAAUUUCCACUGCACUCUACACCACUGACUGUCCUUCGUGUGAGUCACCUCAAACUGUUGUGUUUGCUGUUAACAGUUUUUGGCAAGCACAGCAGUGUAUUAAAAAUGGUGAGGUACUGGUAUUUAGCAUUAUCCAUGUAUUUCUGCUGACCUGUUUUUUGAGUAUUUGGGUUCUAUACUCAUAGCUAAAAUAAUGUACCUAUCUAUGUGUAAGUUCAUUCCUUGUCUUGAAACUGGGGUAGUCUCAAAGGUGCCAUGUAACUGUAAAUUUUUUCUGAUUAAUGCUUUUGCAAAUGAAACUGAAACUAUGUCAACUUUUUGCCAGUUGAUAGUGAAGCUAAUUGCACCAGGUAAAUACUGCUGUGCACUCAUUAUUUUUGAGCUCUGUUUAAAUUGAGCUUUGUUCAAGUUAACACUGGUACUUCACAGUUUUGACAUGAGCUAGAAAAUCCACAAAAAUAAAAUUGUGGAAUAUAUUGCAGGUUUUGGCCAAAACAAACGCGGUGUGGUGUUGGAAGUCUGUUCUCCAUUGUUUGUGCUGCCCUGAGGACCUCCAGUGGGGUUGAACUGGUAUAAGUGGGAAAGGGCUAGCCAAGCUUUAAAUAUCUGUUAGCAGGAACUAUAUCAUGUGCACGUUCCUAUGGAAAGGAAAUUGCAAACAGAAAUAAGGCAUACAUUCUGCUUUCCACAUUUAUCUUUGAGGUGAGUAUGUCACCACUGGCAAAAAAUCAGGGCUUUCUGCCGGUGUCUGAAGUUAUGAAAGUCUGAUAACGUACAUUAUGCUAAAGGAAAACAGAUAAAACAACAUGAUCUUUAGACUUCAGGAAAUAGGCCUCCCAACUGUAAUUGAAAAUACUGCAUGUUCUUUAUUUCCACUUCCAUAUACUGUGAUAGUGCCAAUAUUUUUCCCAUGAGCAUGUCCUGAAUAGCUGGGACCAUCUGAUACAUGGAUAGGAAUGGGUAAAUACAUUUCUAUCACAUUUUUCCAUUGUUUCCACAUAAAGCAAUAUAUGGUGGGUUGAACAAGGAGUGGCUUUUUUCCUAUUGUUAAAUACUAUUUUUUACAAUAAAUUCUAAAAACUA
This is a long non-coding RNA of Pezoporus flaviventris, 1298 nucleotides long. RefSeq lists it as uncharacterized. The record is from RefSeq and is a predicted model, not a curated record. The transcript has 3 exons. NCBI's taxonomy places the organism in Eukaryota, Metazoa, Chordata, Aves, Psittaciformes, Psittacidae.